GGGGAGAGUUGAAACUGUCAGCGGCAGCCAGGCUCGAAGAAAACGCAUCAGCAGAAUGGAUCUUGAUCUGUCGUCGGCUUUGGGUGGAAAAGAUGAGGAGGUGAAGAAGACGGAGGCACAGAAGGACGAGCUGAGCUGGCCUUGGAGCAAAAACAAGGAUAAAGACAAGAAGGUAGGAGAC
This is a long non-coding RNA of Fundulus heteroclitus (mummichog), 181 nucleotides long. RefSeq lists it as uncharacterized. Lineage: Eukaryota; Metazoa; Chordata; Actinopteri; Cyprinodontiformes; Fundulidae. The transcript has 2 exons. The record is from RefSeq and is a predicted model, not a curated record.